Non-coding RNA from Cinara cedri, 202 nucleotides. The record is from the annotation of a GenBank genome assembly. Lineage: Eukaryota; Metazoa; Arthropoda; Insecta; Hemiptera; Aphididae.
AAACAAUAACAAGUUUACGUCUAUGCCGUUUUUCCCGUGAUUUCACGGCGCAUUCACAGGUUAUAGGUUCGAGAUCUCUCAGGUCGUGUUAUAGGCGCACGUAUUUCGGCGCUACAAAAUCCGAACACUAUUUGCGUAGCGCGAGUAAAUAUCAUAUUUUUAUAACCGUCGGCCGAUACAUAAACGCCCGAGACGUUCACCA